UGACCAAUCCCGCAAGGGGUCUUGGGGUCCGCGGUUCGCUGCGGCCCUUAAAAUCAGUGGCGGCGCCGCCGGUGCUCUCAGCGUAGUAAUAUUUCCUCGCUCGGGAACCACGGUGGAUGCUCGCCAGCAACCCCCAAUUUUCAAA
Molecule: unclassified non-coding RNA, 145 nt
Filed under: uncultured Leotiomycetes
Lineage: Eukaryota; Fungi; Ascomycota; Leotiomycetes
Description: sequence contains ITS2
Source: RNAcentral